UUCAUUUUCAUUCUUGUUCAUUCGUUUUCAUUCGCUUGGGUUUUCAUUCGUUUUCAUUCACGUCGUUUUCGUGGGUCUGUGAUGUUCAUUUCUGUGUGGGUCUGUGUUUUUUUGUGUGGGUUUUCAUUCUUCUUCUGCUUGAUGGCUUGAUGAUGAGAAUGUCAAUAUAAAAAUACAAAUUUGCAUGAGAUUUGGAAGUCUGUGUAGGUCUGUGUAGGUCACUUUAGCAUGAGAUUUAAUGAAAAGUAAAAAGAUAUAUGGUCAUUUCUGUUUAUGAUAUUUAUUUUGCUGCUAUUUUGAUUAUUUUUUACUUCAUAGAUGAUAUGUAAUGUUUUAAACCAAGCCAUGUUUUGCUGCUAUUUUGCUGCUAUUAUAUCAGAUUUUAUUGUUGAAGCUAAACUCCAAAUAGGCAAGAAAAUUCAAAUAACCAAGCCAUGUUUUAAUGUCAAAGUGUGAUUCAAAAUUCGUUAUGUUGCUGCACAUGAGGGUGUUAGGUAUAAGCAAGUAUAUAGAAGUCACUCAUGUUAACCUUGUGCUUAAUAUAUUCAAGGUAUAUAGAAGUCACUCAAGUUAUAGUGCUUAAUAUAUUCAAGGUUGGCUAAGGAGUGAAAAUAUGGAGUUAGAAUAGUGCUUAAUAUCUCUGCCAUAUAAUAUACUUACUCAAGGUGACCAAGUUUGAUGUAGUUAGAAUAGUAAGGGAAAAUAUGGAGAUGGUCAAGAGGGUUUUGGUAUGAGCCUAAGAUAGCUGAGUAGUGUCUCUCCAAAUACCCUUCAGCUUCACCACAUAGCCUUAUAAGAUGGGAUCUUUUUUCUUGCAAAUACCCUUCAGCUUCGGCUUCAAGAAAACAUACAACUUGGCCAUGGGCAGGGGUCAAUAUUUAUGGCCAAUUGUAUAAACAUACAACUUGUUUUGAUAUUAACUAAGUUGUAUAAACAUAUUUAUAAAAUUAUCAAUGCUUGUGCUGUGCAGGGGUUGCUGUGUUAGGCGGUGAUUGCUGCUCCUGCGUUAGGCGGUGAUUGCUGCUCCUGCGUGUUGCUUGUGCUGUGCAGGGGCUGGUGUUGCUCUUUUUUGGUGUUGUCAUCUUUGUUUGAAGUUAGAAGGUUCAAUCACGGUCUCAUCUACAGGGUGAUGAAUUGGUUAUUAGCUUUAGUUUGAGUCUUGGAAGCAGAUCAGGUGAUGGAAUUGGUAUUUUGGCUCGGAUGUGCAUCUCACUGUUUUGGACUGUUUAUUUUGGACUAUUUUAGGAUGGUUUUAUGAAGGAAUUGGUAUUAGAAUUGGUAUUUUUGUGAUGGAAUUGGUAUUUUAUGAAGGAUUGGUAUUUUAGAAUUGGUAUUUUAGGAAUUGGUAUUUUAGGAUUGGUAUUUUAGGAAUUGGUAUUUUAGGACUGUUUAUCAGGUGAUGGAAUUGGUAUUUUAGGAUGUGCAUACUGUUCUAGAGUUUUGAUUUUU
Molecule: long non-coding RNA, 1449 nt
Organism: Trifolium pratense (red clover)
Lineage: Eukaryota; Viridiplantae; Streptophyta; Magnoliopsida; Fabales; Fabaceae
Exons: 2
Source: RefSeq, a predicted model, not a curated record